This 2985-nucleotide ribosomal RNA is filed under the name Salmonella enterica subsp. enterica. Its description in RNAcentral is "bacterial LSU rRNA". It matches the Rfam family "Bacterial large subunit ribosomal RNA". The record is from RNAcentral. Lineage: Bacteria; Pseudomonadati; Pseudomonadota; Gammaproteobacteria; Enterobacterales; Enterobacteriaceae.
UUAAGCGACUAAGCGUACACGGUGGAUGCCCUGGCAGUCAGAGGCGAUGAAGGGCGUGCUAAUCUGCGAUAAGCGCCGGUAAGGUGAUAUGAACCGUUAUAACCGGCGAUACCCGAAUGGGGAAACCCAGUGUGACUCGUCACACUAUCAUUAACUGAAUCCAUAGGUUAAUGAGGCGAACCGGGGGAACUGAAACAUCUAAGUACCCCGAGGAAAAGAAAUCAACCGAGAUUCCCCCAGUAGCGGCGAGCGAACGGGGAGGAGCCCAGAGCCUGAAUCAGCAUGUGUGUUAGUGGAAGCGUCUGGAAAGGCGCGCGAUACAGGGUGACAGCCCCGUACACAAAAGCGCAUGUGCUGUGAGCUCGAUGAGUAGGGCGGGACACGUGGUAUCCUGUCUGAAUAUGGGGGGACCAUCCUCCAAGGCUAAAUACUCCUGACUGACCGAUAGUGAACCAGUACCGUGAGGGAAAGGCGAAAAGAACCCCGGCGAGGGGAGUGAAAAAGAACCUGAAACCGUGUACGUACAAGCAGUGGGAGCACCCUUUGGGGUGUGACUGCGUACCUUUUGUAUAAUGGGUCAGCGACUUAUAUUCUGUAGCAAGGUUAACCGUAUAGGGGAGCCGUAGGGAAACCGAGUCUUAACCGGGCGUUAAGUUGCAGGGUAUAGACCCGAAACCCGGUGAUCUAGCCAUGGGCAGGUUGAAGGUUGGGUAACACUAACUGGAGGACCGAACCGACUAAUGUUGAAAAAUUAGCGGAUGACCUGUGGCUGGGGGUGAAAGGCCAAUCAAACCGGGAGAUAGCUGGUUCUCCCCGAAAGCUAUUUAGGUAGCGCCUCGUGAAUUCAUCUCCGGGGGUAGAGCACUGUUUCGGCUAGGGGGCCAUCCCGGCUUACCAACCCGAUGCAAACUGCGAAUACCGGAGAAUGUUAUCACGGGAGACACACGGCGGGUGCUAACGUCCGUCGUGAAGAGGGAAACAACCCAGACCGCCAGCUAAGGUCCCAAAGUCAUGGUUAAGUGGGAAACGAUGUGGGAAGGCCCAGACAGCCAGGAUGUUGGCUUAGAAGCAGCCAUCAUUUAAAGAAAGCGUAAUAGCUCACUGGUCGAGUCGGCCUGCGCGGAAGAUGUAACGGGGCUAAACCAUGCACCGAAGCUGCGGCAGCGAACGUAUCACUUAAAGCGAUUCAGCGGGUUACGAUUGACGGAGCGAAGCGACGUCAAAGCGUAUACAAAGUCGAGUCGGUUUAAGGAUACGUUCGUUGGGUAGGGGAGCGUUCUGUAAGCCUGCGAAGGUGGCCUGUGAGGGUUGCUGGAGGUAUCAGAAGUGCGAAUGCUGACAUAAGUAACGAUAAAGCGGGUGAAAAGCCCGCUCGCCGGAAGACCAAGGGUUCCUGUCCAACGUUAAUCGGGGCAGGGUGAGUCGACCCCUAAGGCGAGGCCGAAAGGCGUAGUCGAUGGGAAACGGGUUAAUAUUCCCGUACUUGGUGUUACUGCGAAGGGGGGACGGAGAAGGCUAUGUUGGCCGGGCGACGGUUGUCCCGGUUUAAGCGUGUAGGUGUGUGUUCCAGGUAAAUCCGGUUCACUUUAACACUGAGGCGUGAUGACGAGGCACUACGGUGCUGAAGCAACAAAUGCCCUGCUUCCAGGAAAAGCCUCUAAGCAUCAGGUAACAUCAAAUCGUACCCCAAACCGACACAGGUGGUCAGGUAGAGAAUACCAAGGCGCUUGAGAGAACUCGGGUGAAGGAACUAGGCAAAAUGGUGCCGUAACUUCGGGAGAAGGCACGCUGACACGUAGGUGAAGUGAUUUACUCAUGGAGCUGAAGUCAGUCGAAGAUACCAGCUGGCUGCAACUGUUUAUUAAAAACACAGCACUGUGCAAACACGAAAGUGGACGUAUACGGUGUGACGCCUGCCCGGUGCCGGAAGGUUAAUUGAUGGGGUCAGCGCAAGCGAAGCUCCUGAUCGAAGCCCCGGUAAACGGCGGCCGUAACUAUAACGGUCCUAAGGUAGCGAAAUUCCUUGUCGGGUAAGUUCCGACCUGCACGAAUGGCGUAAUGAUGGCCAGGCUGUCUCCACCCGAGACUCAGUGAAAUUGAACUCGCUGUGAAGAUGCAGUGUACCCGCGGCAAGACGGAAAGACCCCGUGAACCUUUACUAUAGCUUGACACUGAACAUUGAGCCUUGAUGUGUAGGAUAGGUGGGAGGCUUUGAAGUGUGGACGCCAGUCUGCAUGGAGCCGACCUUGAAAUACCACCCUUUAAUGUUUGAUGUUCUAACGUGGACCCGUAAUCCGGGUUGCGGACAGUGUCUGGUGGGUAGUUUGACUGGGGCGGUCUCCUCCUAAAGAGUAACGGAGGAGCACGAAGGUUGGCUAAUCCUGGUCGGACAUCAGGAGGUUAGUGCAAUGGCAUAAGCCAGCUUGACUGCGAGCGUGACGGCGCGAGCAGGUGCGAAAGCAGGUCAUAGUGAUCCGGUGGUUCUGAAUGGAAGGGCCAUCGCUCAACGGAUAAAAGGUACUCCGGGGAUAACAGGCUGAUACCGCCCAAGAGUUCAUAUCGACGGCGGUGUUUGGCACCUCGAUGUCGGCUCAUCACAUCCUGGGGCUGAAGUAGGUCCCAAGGGUAUGGCUGUUCGCCAUUUAAAGUGGUACGCGAGCUGGGUUUAGAACGUCGUGAGACAGUUCGGUCCCUAUCUGCCGUGGGCGCUGGAGAACUGAGGGGGGCUGCUCCUAGUACGAGAGGACCGGAGUGGACGCAUCACUGGUGUUCGGGUUGUCAUGCCAAUGGCACUGCCCGGUAGCUAAAUGCGGAAGAGAUAAGUGCUGAAAGCAUCUAAGCACGAAACUUGCCCCGAGAUGAGUUCUCCCUGAGACUUAGAGUCUCCUGAAGGAACGUUGAAGACGACGACGUUGAUAGGCCGGGUGUGUAAGCGCAGCGAUGCGUUGAGCUAACCGGUACUAAUGAACCGUGAGGCUUAACCUU